GGAAGGGUACAGCUCAAGUGGUAGAGCACAUGCUUAGCAUGCGUGAGGUCAUGGGCUCAAUCCCCAGCACCUCCA
Non-coding RNA from Camelus ferus (Wild Bactrian camel), 75 nucleotides. The record is from Rfam. NCBI's taxonomy places the organism in Eukaryota, Metazoa, Chordata, Mammalia, Artiodactyla, Camelidae.